CGAGGCAGCUUGACGCCAUUUUAUGUCGGAUUGCAGAGGAGCAGGGACAUUGCCACGCCACUCAUGCACAAAAUGUGUUGGCAACAGCAACAGACGUUGAAAAAAGACUACAGUUUCCUGACUUAAUUGUCUAAGGUGAAUCAGCGUUUGGAUGCUGAGCAUCGGGUGGUUGUGCCUCCACAUCCCAACUUCGUGGCUGGAAUGGCAGCUUUGUUUUCUAUCUACUACAACUUCAAUCUGGUGUACCAGGAGGAGCAAGUGCACACUGGAGUUCAU
Molecule: non-coding RNA, 276 nt
Organism: Misgurnus anguillicaudatus (oriental weatherfish)
Lineage: Eukaryota; Metazoa; Chordata; Actinopteri; Cypriniformes; Cobitidae
Source: RefSeq, a predicted model, not a curated record